AGAGUUUGAUCCUGGCUCAAACGAACGCUGGCGGCGUGCUUAACACAUGCAAGUCGAGUGCGCGGUUGUAGCAAUACAACUGGCGCACGGGCCGGGUGCGUAACACGUGGGUAACCUGCCCUUUGGUGGGGAAUAACCCCGGGAAACCGGGGCUAAUUCCGCAUAAGAUCCGCAAGGAUGAAAGCCGCAAGGCGCCGAUGGAGGGGCCCGCGCACGAUUAGCUAGUUGGUAGGGUAAUGGCCUACCAAGGCUUUGAUCGUUAGCUGGUCUGAGAGGAUGGCCAGCCACACUGGAACUGAGACACGGUCCAGACUCCUACGGGAGGCAGCAGUGGGGAAUCUUGCACAAUGGGCGAAAGCCUGAUGCAGGACGCCGCGUGGGGGAUGAAGCAUUUCGGUGUGUAAACCCCUUUCGACCCGGACGAAUGCCUCGCAAGAGGAGUGACGGUACGGGUAUAAGAACCGGCUAACUACGUCCAGCAGCCGCGGUAAGACGUAGGGGGCCAGCGUUGUUCGGAAUUACUGGGUGUAAAGGGUCAGUAGGCGGUGUGGCAAGUUGGGAGUGAAAUCUAUGGGCUCAACCCAUAGGCUGCUUCCAAAACUGCUGUGCUUGAGUGUGGGAGAGGCGCGUGGAAUUGCAGGUGUAGCGGUGAAAUGCGUAGAUAUCUGCAGGAACACCCGUGGCGAAAGCGGCGCGCUGGACCACAACUGACGCUGAAUGACGAAAGCUAGGGGAGCAAACAGGAUUAGAUACCCUAGUAGUCC
Molecule: ribosomal RNA, 764 nt
Filed under: uncultured bacterium
Lineage: Bacteria
Description: bacterial SSU rRNA
Rfam family: Bacterial small subunit ribosomal RNA
Source: RNAcentral